RNAcentral lists this ribosomal RNA (227 nucleotides) under uncultured bacterium. RNAcentral describes it as "partial 16S ribosomal RNA". It matches the Rfam family "Bacterial small subunit ribosomal RNA", at positions 109 to 334 of the family's 1533-position model. The record is from RNAcentral.
AGCAACACGUAUCCAACCUGCCGUCUACUCUUGGCCAGCCUUCUGAAAGGAAGAUUAAUCCAGGAUGGGAUCAUGAGUUCACAUGUCCGCAUGAUUAAAGGUAUUUUCCGGUAGACGAUGGGGAUGCGUUCCAUUAGAUAGUAGGCGGGGUAACGGCCCACCUAGUCAACGAUGGAUAGGGGUUCUGAGAGGAAGGUCCCCCACAUUGGAACUGAGACACGGUCCAA